Long non-coding RNA from Panicum virgatum (switchgrass), 2308 nucleotides. RefSeq lists it as uncharacterized. The record is from RefSeq and is a predicted model, not a curated record. The transcript is spliced from 7 exons. Lineage: Eukaryota; Viridiplantae; Streptophyta; Magnoliopsida; Poales; Poaceae.
CUCCGCCUCCGGGUCCGCCGCAUCCGCGCCGGCGGCGCCCUCCGCCCUGACGCGCGCCGCUUCCCCCUCUGCCGGACGCCGUGCCCCACGGACCGAGCGACCUCCGGCCUCCGGGUCCGCUGAGGUCACGGCGGACGGAGGAGGCGAGCAGGAAGGGGAGAGGGAGAAGGGGGGCGCCGCGCGGGCCUCCGCCACCGCCUAGCCGGUGGGCCUACGCCGCCGCAGAUCCGCCCGAGGCCGGCCGAGUUCACAGGCGAGCAGAUUCGGCGAGGUCGAGGUUGGCCGAGCUCGAGGCCGGCCAAGCCCCCCGUGCCCCUCCUCCGGUGUCCCCCUGCGCUCCUCGCAGCCUCCGCGCUCCCUCCACCGCCUCCUCGCCGCGGCGGGGCGGGGCGGCCGCCACUGCGUGCUCCGGCCAGCGCUGCUCGCCGGCACCAGUGAGCUGCGAUGCCUCUCGCCCGCUCCGGCCGCCGCGCGCCCAUGCCUUUCGCCCGCGCAGGCUGCCGUGGCCACCCUUGCCCCCAUCGCCAAGCUCCCCAGCUACGGCGCCCGGCUCUAGAUCGACGGAGAUGGCCGGAUUUGGUGGGCCCGGCUCCCCAGCUACGGCGCCCAGCUCUAGAUCGACGGAGAUGGCCGGAUUUGGUGUGCCAGGCUCCCCUUUGCCACUCACACCCCCUUCUUCUUCCUUAUCCGUCCAUGGGAAAAGUUCUUCCUAGGGUUGGAUUGUCUCAGCAGCUUUUGAUGGCGGUGUAGGGGGAGCGUCCGCCGGUGCUCCUUCCCCAGCGGGCGGAGUCGCUGCCGCGGCCGGAGCGCGCAGUUCGGAGGCGCGGCAGCUCAAGCCACCGCCAUGGCCAGCCUUGCAGCCCAUCGCGGUGGUGUUGGUGGUCAGCCCUUUGGAACCUGAAAUAUACAUUCCCAGUGAGUGCAAUGUACACCAUGGUACUGACUUAUGAUUUGCGUGAGAAGCAUUCGAGGUCUUGGAAUCGUAAGACGUAAGCUGACUAAGAAUGGAGAUCCCUUCUUCUUUCUCAAUUCGAUUAUUUUGUAUCAAUUUUCCUUCUUUCUUCUUUCGUUCUGUACAAGAUUCAGGGAUUGGAGUAUGAGCGAGAGCAGGGAUCAUGGUUGGCCAUCACAAUUGAGCUGGGAGAAUGAUUGAAUCAUCUACUGGUUUCAGAUAGGGAGGGAAUGGUGAGCUGCCGCUGCAGAUAGGGGUCAAUGGACACUUGCUGCAGAUAGGGAAUUGUUUCAGACUUUGAAAGAAUGGGCAGAAACAAUCCAUCAUUGAUCAAGUCUCUGAAAAUAUUUACCAGUUUACUGGGUCCAAGAGCUAGCAGAACACGAGUUGUGACAUGGACCACAUGAAUAUGAGGAAGACAUUGACAAUUCACCCUUGGUUCAGGCUUGUGUGGCUACUCUUAUUGAGUUUAUCUCACCACUUUGUGCCGAAUUAUGGAAGGAAGAAAGGACAAAAGAAUGGCAUUCAGAGCAACAAUUGAGCAAGCACAACUGAUCUAUGUGUGGGUUGGAUGCAACACAGCAAAAUUUGUCCAUCUGCUGCAACCACUAGGCCUAUAAGUGGAUAACAGAGUGAGUGUCAUCUCUGUACUAGGAGGAACAUGUGACAACACCGGAUCAGGGAUGGCCCGCCAUCUAGGUACUGCUUCUAUUGUCAUUUAACUAAUUGCCUUGCACUUAUGGUAGCUUAUUAACAACAACAAGCUUUACGUCACUUCAUGUUUCAAUGAUGAAAACUGGGUCUAAACAUAGUCCUGGCAUGCAACAUCCCAAAAGACAGCCCCAUGCUUGAGGCUGUUGCGGAGAGGAAGCUGGUGGAGAAGCUGAAAGGUUUGGGCUACAUGAUGCCCAUAGCUGGGGAGGCUAAUACUUCCACUGCACAGUGAUAGGUGGUGUGAUCUGGUGAGGCUUCGCUCAAAGGCGUAGUUUUCGCCAUGCAGGAGGAACACUUGUUAUUGUUGCUUGGCUCAAUUGACUAGGUACCUGUACAAUGUGGCAAAUGUGUUCUGAAUUAUAGUGCCUUCCAGGGCUCUUGCACAAACGAUAGCCUGCCAUUGACGUGGAUGCUCUGAAACUGGAAUCGCUGAACAUGUUGAGUUUUUACUCCUAGAAUGCAAAUUGAUCGAUGCCUUGCAACAUUGAAGUCCUGUGCUGAGCAUGGCAGUUUGUAUUAUGAUAUUUCAACACUAUUCUUGAGAGCCAAAGGAGCUUGCAUUUGAAGUUUCUGUGUAUUUUAUAGGUUGUACGGGGCAACAAAUUUGCUUGACGAAUAGAAUACGGAAUACCUCCUUACUGA